AUACGAAGGGUGCAAGCGUUAAUCGGAUUUACUGGGCGUAAAGCGCGCGUAGGUGGCUAAUUAAGUCAAAUGUGAAAUCCCCGAGCUUAACUUGGGAAUUGCAUUCGAUACUGGUUAGCUAGAGUAUGGGAGAGGAUGGUAGAAUUCCAGGUGUAGCGGUGAAAUGCGUAGAGAUCUGGAGGAAUACCGAUGGCGAAGGCAACCAUCUAGCCUAAUACUGACGAUGAGGUGCGAAAGCAUGGGGAGCAAACAGGAUUAGAUACCCUGGUAGUCCAUGCCGUAAACGAUGUCUACUAGCCGUUGGGGCCGUUGAGGCUUUAGUGGCGCAGCUAACGCGAUAAGUGAGCCGCCUGGGGAGUACGGUCGCAAGACUAAAACUCAAAUGAAUUGACGGGG
Molecule: ribosomal RNA, 396 nt
Filed under: uncultured bacterium
Lineage: Bacteria
Description: partial 16S ribosomal RNA
Rfam family: Bacterial small subunit ribosomal RNA
Source: RNAcentral